GAACUCUGGUAUUGAUUGGUGCUUGCAUCAUGAUUUACAUUUGAGUGAGUGGCGAACUGGUGAGUAACACGUGGGAAACCUGCCCAGAAGCGGGGGAUAACACCUGGAAACAGAUGCUAAUACCGCAUAACAACUUGGACCGCAUGGUCCGAGUUUGAAAGAUGGCUUCGGCUAUCACUUUUGGAUGGUCCCGCGGCGUAUUAGCUAGAUGGUGGGGUAACGGCUCACCAUGGCAAUGAUACGUAGCCGACCUGAGAGGGUAAUCGGCCACAUUGGGACUGAGACACGGCCCAAACUCCUACGGGAGGCAGCAGUAGGGAAUCUUCCACAAUGGACGAAAGUCUGAUGGAGCAACGCCGCGUGAGUGAAGAAGGGUUUCGGCUCGUAAAACUCUGUUGUUAAAGAAGAACAUAUCUGAGAGUAACUGUUCAGGUAUUGACGGUAUUUAACCAGAAAGCCACGGCUAACUACGUGCCAGCAGCCGCGGUAAUACGUAGGUGGCAAGCGUUGUCCGGAUUUAUUGGGCGUAAAGCGAGCGCAGGCGGUUUUUUAAGUCUGAUGUGAAAGCCUUCGGCUCAACCGAAGAAGUGCAUCGGAAACUGGGAAACUUGAGUGCAGAAGAGGACAGUGGAACUCCAUGUGUAGCGGUGAAAUGCGUAGAUAUAUGGAAGAACACCAGUGGCGAAGGCGGCUGUCUGGUCUGUAACUGACGCUGAGGCUCGAAAGUAUGGGUAGCAAACAGGAUUAGAUACCCUGGUAGUCCAUACCGUAAACGAUGAAUGCUAAGUGUUGGAGGGUUUCCGCCCUUCAGUGCUGCAGCUAACGCAUUAAGCAUUCCGCCUGGGGAGUACGGCCGCAAGGCUGAAACUCAAAGGAAUUGACGGGGGCCCGCACAAGCGGUGGAGCAUGUGGUUUAAUUCGAAGCUACGCGAAGAACCUUACCAGGUCUUGACAUACUAUGCAAAUCUAAGAGAUUAGACGUUCCCUUCGGGGACAUGGAUACAGGUGGUGCAUGGUUGUCGUCAGCUCGUGUCGUGAGAUGUUGGGUUAAGUCCCGCAACGAGCGCAACCCUUAUUAUCAGUUGCCAGCAUUAAGUUGGGCACUCUGGUGAGACUGCCGGUGACAAACCGGAGGAAGGUGGGGAUGACGUCAAAUCAUCAUGCCCCUUAUGACCUGGGCUACACACGUGCUACAAUGGAUGGUACAACGAGUUGCGAACUCGCGAGAGUAAGCUAAUCUCUUAAAGCCAUUCUCAGUUCGGAUUGUAGGCUGCAACUCGCCUACAUGAAGUCGGAAUCGCUAGUAAUCGCGGAUCAGCAUGCCGCGGUGAAUACGUUCCCGGGCCUUGUACACACCGCCCGUCACACCAUGAGAGUUUGUAACACCCAAAGUCGGUGGGGUA
RNAcentral lists this ribosomal RNA (1403 nucleotides) under Lactiplantibacillus sp. RNAcentral describes it as "partial 16S ribosomal RNA". It matches the Rfam family "Bacterial small subunit ribosomal RNA", at positions 64 to 1437 of the family's 1533-position model. Lineage: Bacteria; Bacillati; Bacillota; Bacilli; Lactobacillales; Lactobacillaceae. The record is from RNAcentral. RNAcentral also lists the same sequence under 1 other name.